GACGAACGCUGGCGGCGUGCUUAACACAUGCAAGUCGAACGGAAAGGCCUCUUUCGGGGGGUACUCGAGUGGCGAACGGGUGAGUAACACGUGAGUAACCUGCCCUUGACUUUGGGAUAACUUCAGGAAACUGGGGCUAAUACCGGAUAGGAGCUCCUGCUGCAUGGUGGGGGUUGGAAAGUUUCGGCGGUUGGGGAUGGACUCGCGGCUUAUCAGCUUGUUGGUGGGGUAGUGGCUUACCAAGGCUUUGACGGGUAGCCGGCCUGAGAGGGUGACCGGCCACAUUGGGACUGAGAUACGGCCCAGACUCCUACGGGAGGCAGCAGUAGGGAAUCUUGCGCAAUGGGCGAAAGCUUGACGGAGCAACGCCGCGUGAGUGAUGAAGGUCUUCGGAUCGUAAAACUCUGUUAUUAGGGAAGAACAAAUGUGUAAGUAACUAUGCACGUCUUGACGGUACCUAAUCAGAAAGCCACGGCUAACUACGUG
This 486-nucleotide ribosomal RNA is filed under the name uncultured bacterium. RNAcentral's name for it is "partial 16S ribosomal RNA". It matches the Rfam family "Bacterial small subunit ribosomal RNA", at positions 28 to 507 of the family's 1533-position model. The record is from RNAcentral.